UGGGAGCUCCCAGCUCUCUGCUCAGACAGGGCUGAGGUCUCUGGGAAGGCAGGUGUGGUCUAGAAGAUGAGGCUGCUGGGUCUUGUCCUGUGCCUGGUCACAGCUCUCCAAGGUGUCCUGUGCCAGGUGCAGCUACAGGAGUCAGGACCUGGCCUGGUGAAGCCCUCACAGACCCUGUCCCUCACCUGUGCUGUCUCUGGAUUCUCCAUCACAACCAGUGGUUACUACUGGAACUGGAUCCGUCAGUCCCCAGGGAAGGGUUUGGAGUACAUAGGGUACAUACAUAGUGGUGGUAGCACUAACUACAACCCAUCUCUCAAGAGCCGAGUGUCCAUCUCCAGAGACACAUCCAAGAACCAGUUCUCCCUGCAGCUGAGCUCCCUGACCACUGAGGACACAGCCACCUAUUACUGUGCCAGAGACACAGUGAGGGGACCUCAGUGUGAGCCCAGACACAAACCUCCCUGCUGCUCACCCAGGGCCAGCAGGGUGCACUCAGCACACAGGAGUCAGGUCAGCCCAGAAGCAGCUGCAGAUGUGACUUGGGGCAGGUUUCCUCCUUCUGGAGGCCUGUCUAAGUACCACCUUCCCAGGGAUCUCUGUGGCCUUGUGGUCUCUACUUAUCUCUGAUGUGUCUGAAGAUAAUCAUUCUGUUUUUGUCAUGUUCUUUUUCUUUUGAAAUAGUGCAUCUUACAUAUAUUUAUUAUAGGUUUUCACUUUGACAUAGUCACAUAUAUUCAUUGUUCAUAAAACGUCUGUUGCUCUCACA
Molecule: non-coding RNA, 769 nt
Organism: Marmota monax (woodchuck)
Lineage: Eukaryota; Metazoa; Chordata; Mammalia; Rodentia; Sciuridae
Source: the annotation of a RefSeq genome assembly